GCAGCUCAUUGUGGGGGUUCCUGGGGUCACAGUUCUGCUAGUUCUUCUUGUUGGCUUGGUGCUGUUGUGCCGGAGAAUCUGCAGAAAACUAGAUAACCACAGACAGGCUCAUGAGCACAUGUUUUACUCAAUGGUUAACCUGAAAGACAGAAAAUCAGCCAAUCCUUUUCUAGAAGAUGCAUUUUAUGACACCAUCAGUUCAGCAAUGGAAACACAAUGUGACCCAACAGAAGCUAACAGUGACGAGUUUUAUUCUACUUUCAAAUAAAGAAGAAACCCCAAGG
This is a long non-coding RNA of Polyodon spathula (Mississippi paddlefish), 284 nucleotides long. RefSeq lists it as uncharacterized. The record is from RefSeq and is a predicted model, not a curated record. NCBI's taxonomy places the organism in Eukaryota, Metazoa, Chordata, Actinopteri, Acipenseriformes, Polyodontidae. The transcript is spliced from 4 exons.